RNAcentral lists this ribosomal RNA (523 nucleotides) under uncultured bacterium. Its description in RNAcentral is "bacterial SSU rRNA". It matches the Rfam family "Bacterial small subunit ribosomal RNA", at positions 209 to 722 of the family's 1533-position model. The record is from RNAcentral.
CUAAGCUCCUGCUUCUGGAUGAGCCCGCGUCCCAUCAGCUAGUUGUAGGGUAAUGGCCUACCAAGGCUACGACGGGUAGCUGGUCUAAGAGGAUGGCCAGCCACACUGGAACUGAGACACGGUCCAGACUCCUACGGGAGGCAGCAGUGGGGAAUCUUGCGCAAUGGGCGAAAGCCUGACGCAGCGACGCCGCGUGGGUGACGAAGGCCUUCGGGUUGUAAAGCCCUGUGGGGUAGAACGAACUGGCAUCGGGCUAAUAUCUCGGUGUCUUGACGGUACUGCCUUAGCAAGCAUCGGCUAACUCUGUGCCAGCAGCCGCGGUAAGACAGAGGAUGCGAACGUUGCUCGGAUUUACUGGGCGUAAAGCGCGUGUAGGCGGUCUCGUUAGUCGGGUGUGAAAGCCCCGGGCUCAACCCGGGAAGUGCACCCGAUACUGCGAGACUGGGGUACUGAAGAGGAGAGCGGAAUUCCCGGUGUAGAGGUGAAAUUCGUAGAUAUCGGGAGGAACACCAGUGGCGAAGGC